UCAAAAUGCAUCGAUAGGGGAGUGUUCCACCUUAGAGGGAAGCAACCGCGAGAGCAGGGUCAACGAAGCAGACGCGAGAAUGUCGGCUUGAGUAACGAAAACAUUGGUGAGAAUCCAAUGCCCCGAAAACCCAAGGUUUCCUCCGCAAGGUUCGUCCACGGAGGGUGAGUCAGGGCCUAAGAUCAGGCCGAAAGACGUAGUCGAUGGACAACAGGUCAAUAUUCCUGUACUACCCCUUGUUGGUAUGGAGGGAUGGAGGAAAUAUAGGCCUGCUUGCCAUCCACACCAGAAUAGAUAGAGUUUUCCAAAGAAACUAGCUAGUGGAGGAAGGCCUCCUAGGGAUAAGAGACAUAGGGCUAAAGAGAGAGCCAAAAAAGGAUCUGUCGUGUAUAAUCCUACAUAAUCUCGAAUGUUAUUAGUUCCGGUACAUAGACCAAAUAAUACAAUGCAAGCAAAAGUUCUUAGAUUCAU
Molecule: ribosomal RNA, 471 nt
Filed under: Triticum aestivum (bread wheat)
Lineage: Eukaryota; Viridiplantae; Streptophyta; Magnoliopsida; Poales; Poaceae
Description: partial small subunit ribosomal RNA
Rfam family: Bacterial large subunit ribosomal RNA
Source: RNAcentral